GACGAACGCUGGCGGCGUGCUUAACACAUGCAAGUCGAGCGGAAAGGCCCUUCGGGGUCCUCGAGCGGCGGACGGGUGAGUAACACGUGAGUAACCUGCCCCAGACUUUGGGAUAACCCUCGGAAACGGGGGCUAAUACCAGAUACGACACAGCGUCGCAUGGGGUCUGUGUGGAAAGUUUUUCGGUUUGGGAUGGGCUCGCGGCCUAUCAGCUUGUUGGUGGGGUGAUGGCCUACCAAGGCGACGACGGGUAGCCGGCCUGAGAGGGCGACCGGCCACACUGGGACUGAGACACGGCCCAGACUCCUACGGGAGGCAGCAGUGGGGAAUAGUGCACAAUGGGCGGAAGCCUGAUGCAGCGACGCCGCGUGAGGGAUGACGGCCUUCGGGUUGUAAACCUCUUUCAGCAGGGACGAAGCGUAAGUGACGGUACCUGCAGAAGAAGCGCCGGCCAACUACGUG
RNAcentral lists this ribosomal RNA (462 nucleotides) under uncultured bacterium. RNAcentral's name for it is "partial 16S ribosomal RNA". It matches the Rfam family "Bacterial small subunit ribosomal RNA", at positions 28 to 507 of the family's 1533-position model. The record is from RNAcentral.